GAUCUUGCAGCAGCCUGCAAGGCAAUGGAAGGUGUAGAAGUAAUUAUUGGCUUUGGGUGCAAGAUGUCUUGCUCUUCCUACAAGAUUUUGUAUGGAGGAUUUCUUCCACAGGAAGAAGAAGAAGAGCGAGAACUGGUUAUUGUCUAGCUCUCAAGGUGUUUCUUGUUCUUGCAAGUCGAUGGUAUGGAUGCAUUUACUGUCAAACAAGCUUGCAAAUUUGCUAAGGAAUAUGCCUUAAAGAAUGGACCGAUAGUAAGGAAUGAUGAACCAGAGAAACUUAAAGAGGAUCAUUGUUUGCGUACAGAGCAGGGUGAUUGUAAUCAGAAAGCAACCACUUCCCUUUGCCGCAACAAUCAAGCAUGUAAUGA
Raphanus sativus (radish) is the source of this 368-nucleotide long non-coding RNA. RefSeq lists it as uncharacterized. The transcript has 3 exons. NCBI's taxonomy places the organism in Eukaryota, Viridiplantae, Streptophyta, Magnoliopsida, Brassicales, Brassicaceae. The record is from RefSeq and is a predicted model, not a curated record.